UACGGGGGGGGCAAGCGUUGUUCGGAAUUACUGGGCGUAAAGGGCUCGUAGGCGGCCAACUAAGUCAGACGUGAAAUCCCUCGGCUUAACCGGGGAACUGCGUCUGAUACUGGAUGGCUUGAAUCCGGGAGAGGGAUGCGGAAUUCCAGGUGUAGCGGUGAAAUGCGUAGAUAUCUGGAGGAACACCGGUGGCGAAGGCGGCAUCCUGGACCGGCAUUGACGCUGAAAAGCGAAAGCCAGGGGAGCAAACGGG
This 253-nucleotide ribosomal RNA is filed under the name uncultured bacterium. RNAcentral's name for it is "partial 16S ribosomal RNA". It matches the Rfam family "Bacterial small subunit ribosomal RNA", at positions 524 to 776 of the family's 1533-position model. The record is from RNAcentral.